Molecule: ribosomal RNA, 496 nt
Filed under: uncultured Glomeromycotina
Lineage: Eukaryota; Fungi; Glomeromycota
Description: partial small subunit ribosomal RNA
Rfam family: Eukaryotic small subunit ribosomal RNA
Source: RNAcentral
CCAAUAGCGUAUAUUAAAGUUGUUGCAGUUAAAAAGCUCGUAGUUGAAUUUCGAGACCGGUCUACUGGUCGUGCUUUUGUACGUACUGGUAUAAUCGGUUUCUCUCUUCUGACAAACUAUAAUGCCAUUAAUUUGGUGUUUUAGGGAAUCAGGACUGUUACUUUGAAAAAAUUAGAGUGUUUAAAGCAGGCUCACGCUUGAAUACAUUAGCAUGGAAUAACGAAAUAGGACGUUUGAUUCUAUUUUGUUGGUUUCUAGGAUCGACGUAAUGAUUAAUAGGGAUCGUUGGGGGCAUUAGUAUUCAAUUGUAAGAGGUGAAAUUCUUGGAUUUAUUGAAGACUAAAUACUGCCAAAGCAGUUGCAAAGGAUGUUUUCAUUAAUCAAGAACGGAAGUUAGGGGAUCGAAGACGAUCAGAUACCGUCGUAGUCUUAACCAUAAACUAUGCCGACUAGGGAUCGGAUGAUGUUAAAUUAAUGACUCAUUCGGCACCUUACG